UGUUAAGAUCUAUCAAAAUGUACCGAGACAGCUCUCCUUGCUGAAAUCUGAUGAACAAAAAGGCAAGCAACGUCCAGGAAGACUGUAAAAGAAUGGAUCAAAUUAAGAGCAAGAACAAAUGCAACCAAGAGAUGGGGUUUCAGCACAUUAGCCAGUAUCGUCUCGAUCUCUUCACCUCGUGAUCCGCCCACCUCGGCCUCCCCAAGUGCUGGGAUUACAGGCGUGAGCCACUGCGUUUUGCCAGUUCUCUUCCUUUAUUAAAACUACAUCAGAUGGUCUCCAUCAAUGACACGAAAGGCUAUGUGAGGACACAGCAGCAAGAAGAUGCCAUGUGAAAGCUGAGAAAUAAGGCCUCACCGGAAAGCAGCCCUGCUGGCACCUUAAUCUUGGACUUCUGUCCUCCAGAACUGUGAGAAAAUAAAUUUCUGUUGCUUUGUGGUA
Homo sapiens (human) is the source of this 441-nucleotide long non-coding RNA. The record is from Ensembl. Lineage: Eukaryota; Metazoa; Chordata; Mammalia; Primates; Hominidae.